UACGGAGGGUGCAAGCGUUAUCCGGAUUCACUGGGUUUAAAGGGUGUGUAGGCGGGUAUUUAAGUCAGUGGUGAAAUCUUCAGGCUCAACCUGGAAACUGCCAUUGAUACUAUUUAUCUUGAAUUCUGUUGAGGUGGGCGGAAUAUAUCAUGUAGCGGUGAAAUGCUUAGAUAUGAUAUAGAACACCGAUUGCGAAGGCAGCUCACUAAACAGACAUUGACGCUGAGGCACGAAAGCGUGGGGAUCAAACAGG
RNAcentral lists this ribosomal RNA (253 nucleotides) under uncultured bacterium. Its description in RNAcentral is "partial 16S ribosomal RNA". It matches the Rfam family "Bacterial small subunit ribosomal RNA", at positions 524 to 776 of the family's 1533-position model. The record is from RNAcentral.